CGCCUGGGGAGUGCGGUCGCAAGAUUAAAACUCAAAGGAAUUGACGGGGGCCUGCACAAGCGGUGGAGCAUGUGGUUUAAUUCGAAGCAACGCGCAGAACCUUACCAGCCUUUGACAUCCUAGGACGACUUCUGGAGACAGAUUUCUUCCCUUCGGGGACCUAGUGACAGGUGCUGCAUGGCUGUCGUCAGCUCGUGUCGUGGGAUGUUGGGUUAAGUCCCGCAACGAGCGCAACCCUCGUCCUUAGUUGCCAUCAUUUAGUUGGGCACUUUAAGGAAACUGCCGGUGAUAAGCCGGAGGAAGGUGGGGAUGACGUCAAGUCCUCAUGGCCCUUACAGGCUGGGCUACACACGUGCUACAAUGGCAUCUACAGUGAGCAGCGAUCCCGCGAGGGUUAGCUAAUCUCCAAAAGAUGUCUCAGUUCGGAUUGUUCUCUGCAACUCGAGAGCAUGAAGGCGGAAUCGCUAGUAAUCGCGGAUCAGCAUGCCGCGGUGAAUACGUUCCCAGGCCUUGUACACACCGCCCGUCACACCAUGGGAGUUGGAUUCACCCGAAGGCGGUGCGCUAACCUUUUAGGAGGCAGCCGACCACGGUGGGUUCAGCGACUGGGGUGAAGUCGUAACAAGGUAACCGUA
RNAcentral lists this ribosomal RNA (635 nucleotides) under uncultured Erythrobacteraceae bacterium. RNAcentral describes it as "bacterial SSU rRNA". It matches the Rfam family "Bacterial small subunit ribosomal RNA", at positions 870 to 1504 of the family's 1533-position model. Lineage: Bacteria; Pseudomonadati; Pseudomonadota; Alphaproteobacteria; Sphingomonadales; Erythrobacteraceae. The record is from RNAcentral.